AUUGAACGCUGGCGGCAGGCCUAACACAUGCAAGUCGAGCGGAUGAAGGGUGCUUGCUCCUGGAUUCAGCGGCGGACGGGUGAGUAAUGCCUAGGAAUCUGGCUGGUAGUGGGGGAUAACGUGCGGAAACGGGCGCUAAUACCGCAUACGUCCUGAGGGAGAAAGGGUGGGAUCUUGGGACCUCAGGAUAUCAGAUGAGCCGAGGUCGGAUUAGCUAGUUGGUGGGGUAAAGGCCUACCAAGGCGACGAUCCGUAACUGGUCUGAGAGGAUGAUCAGUCACACUGGAACUGAGACACGGUCCAGACUCCUACGGGAGGCAGCAGUGGGGAAUAUUGGACAAUGGGCGAAAGCCUGAUCCAGCCAUGCCGCGUGUGUGAAGAAGGUCUUCGGAUUGUAAAGCCCUUUAAGUUGGGAGGAAGGGCAGUAAGUUAAUACCUUGCUGUUUUGACGGUACCAAAAGAAUAAGCACCGGCUAACUUCGUG
This 484-nucleotide ribosomal RNA is filed under the name uncultured bacterium. Its description in RNAcentral is "partial 16S ribosomal RNA". It matches the Rfam family "Bacterial small subunit ribosomal RNA", at positions 30 to 507 of the family's 1533-position model. The record is from RNAcentral.